UCUGCGCUGGGCCGGCUUGAGGGUGGCGGUCCUGAGGCGGGCAGGCUGCUGAGUUGCGGCCCGAGGCGCCUACGUGGGGAUGACCAGCCCGUGGGCGUUGGCGCUGACUCCUAGGCGCCGCUGGUGGCCCCGCGCGCGGCCCUCCCUCCCGUCCUGCCCCUCUCGGGGCUCCUCCUUGGUCCCCGCGCCAUGGCGUGUCCGCGUUGACCGCUGUCUUCGCUUUCGAGCUGUGCUGAUCGCGAACGCUUGCUGCGCAGUCCGUGGUGGCGUCGAGGCACCUUUCUCGUGCCUUUACGUGUGUUCACUCCUUUGCUUUAAAAAAUAGCCCUAGAAGUACACAUCGUCGGCCCCGAAGGAGCCCCAGCAGCCAUGUCGGACCGCGAGGUGACCUUGGAGGGCGGGAGGACGGACGAGGGGCCUGGUGGAGCUGGACUGAGAGGGCCCCGCCGGCGUCCUGAAGGUGUUGAUACCAUGUCAACAUUCUCGUACCCCAAACUCAGUCGCAGCAUCUGCUUCUGGAGAAACCAUUCUGCAGCAUUAAACCUGGUGGGAAGAUGGGAUUCGAGGCUGCAUCACUCACCAGUGGUGAAGUAGGAGGGUGAACUAGUGAAAUGGAAUCCACGAGUGGGUGAAGUAUCAGACAUUUCACAUAUGGUGGACGGAGUAGAUUAAAGGAAGGAAAAGGGGAUUGGAUAGCUAUUGCUCAGUGCCGCCAAGUCUCUUAAGAAUAGUGGUCAGCUGAAGGCAAGCAACAAACAGUUGUAAGCCAGUGAGUCUGUCCCGUUGCAUAUAGAGAAGCUCCAUUUACUGCAGCAGGUCAAAGACAAGAACCAGGCCCAGGAAUUAACAUCCCUGUUUGACUGAACUCCAAAAAUAGCAAAACACCCAAACAAGGCAAUACUCUUCCACUAAGUUUGGAUCCCUGCUAAGAAAAGAUGAGGCCGGGCACAGUGGCUCACACCUGUAAUCCCAGCACUUUGGGAGGCCGAGGAGGGAAGAUUGUUUGAGUCCAGGAGUUCAAGACCAGCUUGGGCAACAUGACAAAACCCCAUCUCUACUGAAAACACAAAAAAUUAGCCGGGCAUGGUGGCCACGGCUGUGGUCCCAGCUACUUGGGAGGCCAAGGUGAGUGGAUCACCUGAGUCCUGGAACUCAGGGCUGUAGUGGGCUGUGACUGCACCACUGCACUCCAGCCUGGGCAACAGGAGUGAGACCCUGUCUUUAAAAAAAAAAAAAGCCCGUCAUACAUGGGUUGGAGAUAACUUGGGUAGAUGCCUUCAAAGGUUUUGACUCCCCAAACUGCCUUAAACCUUUUUUUUUGUAGACAGUGUCUCACUCUAUUGCCCAGGCUGGAGUGCAGUUGCUGGAUCAUGGCCCACUGUAGCCUCAACUUCCUGGGCUCAAACGAUCCUACCACCUUAGCCUCCUAAGUAACUGGGACUACAGGCAUGUGUCACCGUGCCCACAUAACAUUUUUUAUUAUUUGUAGAGGCAAGGUCUUGCUAUGUUGCCCCGGCUUGUCUCAAACUCCUAGGCUCCAGUGAGCCAUCACACCUGGCCUGCCUUGAACCUGAAGCCUGUCGGGGUGGCUCACCUCUCCUACUAACCUGGCACUACUCCUCCUCCCUCCCCCCACUUACUGCACAGUAGAUAUAUAAUUGUGGUUGUUUCUUUUGCAUUAUUCAGCUGGAAACAAUGAGAUAGAAAAGAGAAUAUAGCUCCCUCCCCCUCAAAAGAACUGUGUUAUUAGUUUGCUGGAGCUUCAGUAACAAACUGGGCAGACAUUUAUUGUCUCCGAGUUCUGGAGGCUAGAAGUCUUGAGAUCAAAGUGUUCACAGGGUUGAUUCCUUCUGGGGCUGGGAGGGAGAAUCUGUCUCAUGCCUCUCUCCCAGAUUCUGGUGGUUUGCUGGCAGUCUUUGGUUCCUUGGCUUAUAGAGGCAUUGUCCCAGUCCUGCCUUUAUAUUCACAUGGUGAUCUUGUUGUGUGUGUCUCUCCAGACGAAGGCAUAAAUAACACAUCAUUGACAAAGGUCAUUAGACAUGGGCUUCUUUUUAGAAGGACACCAGUCAUACUGAUUAGGGCCCAUUCUAAUGAGCGCAUCUUAACUUGUCUACAAAGACCCAUUUCCAAAUAAUGUCACGUUCAUAUUUACCAGGGAUUAGGGCUUCAGCAUCUUUUGAGGGGGACACACUUUAGCCCAUAACAAGCUGUACCACCCAGCCAACAUGUACUGACAGGAGCUGGGAAAGUUUGGGGCUGGAUUAUGAGGGUGCUUGAUGAAGGGAGCUGGAAUGUAAACUUGCAUAGAUGUGUUUAUUGAAAUACGCGAUUUAGCACCUUGGCAAAGACUGGCUGCAGACUUCCUGCAAGGAUGGCUCCUAGAAUGGUGGUAUAGCUACUGCUACCUAACAAAUUACUCCACACUUAGUGGCUUAAAACAAGAAUCAUUUAUUAUCUCUAGGUUACUGUGGGUCAGACAUAGUGGGGAUUGGUUAUCUCUAUUCCACAGUGUCAGGCCUCAGCUGGAGCAGUUCAGAGGCUAGAGGUUGGAAUGAGUGAAGGUUCAUCUGCUCGAAUGUCUUGACAGCUGAUACUGGAAAUUGGCUGCAGCCCAGAUUGGGGAUGUCAGCCAGCACACCCUUACAUGGCCAGUCCCUGUGGCCGAGGCUUCCUCACAAUAUGAUGGCUGGAUUCCAAGGGCAAUCUAAAGACAAAGGACAAAAGAAAACUGUAUCCUUUUUGUGAACCAGCCUCAGAAGUUGCAUACCAUCACUUCGGCUACUUCCUCUUUGGAAGAAAUGAGUCACUAAAUCACCCAUAUUCAAAGGGAGAGGAAUUAGGCUUCAUCUUCUAAAGGGAAGAAUAUCAAAAAAUUUGCCAGUAUAUUUUUAAAAUACCACACUUGGAAAAAGCCAUGGGCCAUGGUAAGCAAAACUGAAAUGGCAAAAUUGCUAUGGCAGACAGUGGUGGAAGGGAGUAAAAGGUUCAGGGGUGUGGGCAUGCUGAAAUUUAUAUGCUCCGUGCAUCUAGAAGACAUUCGAGAUGAUCAUAUUCCACAUGAAGGUGUAAAUAACAUAUCAUUUAUAAAGAUCAUUAGACAUAGGAUGAUGAAAGGGGCACUGAUGUCACUAAAAUAUUCAGUGAUGGCUCAUCUCUGUAGGCAAGAAUGACAAUAGAAAGGCUGUUCCAGAACUUGGCUGGGUGAUAGCACUGAGGAUGAUGGGAUCCUAAGACAAAAGAGGCCAUUCUGGGACAUAAUGGGGACCAAAGAAAAAAACCCAAGAAGCCAAAGGCAACACAGCUGACAGAAGUCAGAGGAUUGCAAUUAUAGUACCAGCAGGGUCUGAGUGGCAGCCAAGGGGGCCUCACCUGUAUGGUUAUAGAACUGGUUAAUAAACAUGGCAUCCCUGGAGGCAAAAUAGAUGGGCAGCUAAGAAGGGUACUACUCAGCUGGCAAAAAAAAAAAAAAAUCCUUCCAGGCACGGUGGCCUGUGCCUGUAAUCUCAGCAUUUUGGGAAGCUGAGGUGGGAGGAUCACUUGAGCUCAGGAGUUCAAGGUUACAGUGAGCUGUGGUUGCACCACUGCACUCCAGCCUGGGCAACGCAGCAAGACUGUCUCAAUUGAAAAAAAUAAAGAUGCUUGUCCCAGUUUUAAAAAAUCAGGAUUCCAUGCCCAGUUUCUGGAACUGAGCCAGUUUUCAGAAAUGGAAACAUUACUUGAGAGGUGGCCAAACACCAAGAAGAAGGACCUAUAACAGUACAAGUACACACAGAAAUGAAUCCCCAGGUACUUUUCCAAAGGCUCUGACAGCAAUUUCUUUUGAUAACUACAUCCUGGAGAAAAGUGAUUAGCCGAACAUUUGGAAGACUUGUGGACACACGGUCUAAAUGACGUCCAGAUGCCUAGAGUAUUAUCCCCUUCUGUUAGAGUGGCUGCAUGUGGUGGCCAGGUAAUUGAUGGAGUUCUGCUAAAGGUCCAGUUUACAGUGGACCCAUAGACCUAGUGGACUGAUCUAGUGAUAUUUUCUUAGCCUUCGAGUGAAUAAUUGGCAUUGACAAACUUGGCAGUUAAUGCUCAUUCCAGGUCCCUGACCUAUAGAGUUAGAUAACAAAAUGGAAAAAGCCAAACAGAAACCUGAAACUGCCCCAUCCCCUACCAAGAUUAUAAAACAAUUGUCCCAGAGUGGGAAUGGCAGAGAUAAGUGCCACUUUUAAGGAUCCAAGUGAUGUAAAGUGGUGGUUACCAACAUUUUUGUUUAAUUUACCAGCAUGACCCCUGCAGAAGUCACAAGGAUCCUGGAGAAUGACAGCCUACUCUAUUUGCUGUCAACAAGUAGUUGUUUUGGGUACUCUGUUGCAAACUCAUCUAGGGAGUAUCCCUGGCCAGGCGCAGUGGCUCAUGCCUGUAAUCCCAGCACUUUGGGAGGACAAGGUGGGCGGGACACAAGGUCAGGAGUUCAGCCUGGCCAACAUAGUGAAACCCUGUCUCUACUAAAAAUAUGAAACAUUAGCCGGGUGUGGUGGUGUGUGCCUGUAAUCCCAGCUACUCGGGAGGCUGAGGCAGGAGAAUCCCAUGAACCUGGGAGGUGGAGGUUGCAGUGAGCCGAGAUCAUGCCAUUGCACUCCAGCCCAGGUGACAGUGUGAGACCCUAUCUCAAAAAAAAAAAAAAAAAAAGUAUCCCUAAUAGCCUCUCUGCCAGAUAUGGUAGAUAGUUGUUGACUAGGUGGAUUUGUUCUUUACCUGUCAGGGAUCAAAAACAUUUUGCAUUUGCGUGGAAUUAAAAUACAGUUUUGCCUGAAGGUUAUAUUCUCUUGCUCUCUGUCAUAAUCCAAAGAGAUCUGGACCACCUAGACAUCCUGUAGAAUAUUACAUUGUUCCUUUACAUCAGUGACAUGUUGAUCAGCCAGAUGAGAAGUGCAGAAGGUCCUGGAGACAGCUGCUCCAGAGAGUGGCAUAUAAACCCUAAAGGAAUCUAGGAGCCUGCUACAUCCUAACAUUUUUAGGGCUCCAGUGGUCAGGGGUGCUCUAGGGCAUCCCUUCCAAAAGCGAAUGAAUUAUUGCUUCUUGCACCUCCUGCCAUUAAGAAAGCAAGACACUUGUUGGUUCUUGAGCUAGUUCUUGCCUCAGGUUCUGGAGGCAGCAUAUCCCACACCUGUGAAUAUUGCUCUGGUCCAGAUACUAGUGGAGUUGGGAGAUUGCCAGUUUUGGAAAGAGCCCAGAACUGGAAAAGUCUGUACAGUAGAUCCGGGUUGUGAUGAAGUAAUGCUAUUGCCUGGGCCAUAUAGUCUAACAGGUAUGUUUUUGGUGUUAUUAAUGGUGCAGAAUGAUGUAAUGUAGAGAUUCUGUCAUGCCACCUGGAGCAGAGAAUUGUAUGCAUUUGGGGGGGGUGUGUGUGUGUAGAUCUAUCUUCUGGUGUUCUGCUUGUCUCUGAUAGAGAUGGAACACCUGACCAUAAGCCACCAGAUGACCAUGCAGCCAGAACUGCCUGUUAAUGUGUUAAACUACCAAGUUAUAACAUCAGUUGGGACCGGCAACAGUCCCUCAUAAUAUGGAAGUAGUAUAUUCAAGAUUGAGCAUGAGAGGCCGGGCACGGUGGCUCAUGCUUGUAAUCCCAGCACUUUGGGAGGCCGAGGUGGGUGGAUCACGAGGUCAGGAGAUCGAGACCAGGUGAAACCCCGUCUCUACUAAAAAUACAAAAAAAUUAGCCGGGCGUGGUGGCGGGCGCCUGUAGUCCCAGCUACUCGGAGAGGCUGAGGCAGGAGAAUGGCGUGAACCCGGGAGGCGGAGCUUGCAGUGAGCCGAGAUUGCGCCACUGCACUCCAGCCUGGGCGACAGAGCGAGACUCCGUCUCAAAAAAAAAAAAAAAGAAAAGAUUGAGCAUGAGAAUGUACAGAGGUUACCAAAUGAGCUGCAGAGCACAGAUGGCACAUGACUUCCAGAGCUGUUGGAUCAGCCACAAUGUCAUUUCACACCUGUGACCAUGUGAGGGGGCCCUUAUAAGCAGUUGACAGGAGUAAAAAUUGUGAGCAUGGUGUAUAAAUGGGUUGGCUCAGUAUGAGUUCAAAAUGAAAAUAGCAGCUACAUUACAGCCUCCUCAGGGGUGACCUUGAAAAAUGGUGAUAAGGGCAUAUCCUCUCGAUAGGCAGAAUUUCAGGCAGAGCUCCUGGUCAUCCACUUUUUUGUGGAAGAAGUAGCCCGAGGUGAGAAUAUACAUGGAGCCAUGGGCAGUGCUAGAGGGCCUGGGUAACUGGUUAAGGGCCUGGAAGGAAAACAAUUGAAAGUUGGAGAUAAGGAGGUGUGUGGUAGAUUUAUGUGGUCAGAUAAAUUGGAAUAGGCACGAAGUACGAUGUUCUUUGUAUACAAUGUUAAUGCCUACGAGAGAGCAUCCAUGAAAGAAGUAUCUUUUAUUGGCUACUGUACUACUGGCAUGAUGGGCACAUGGACAAGGUAGCCAAGGUGAUGGAGUUGGAGGCUGUUCAUGGGCCUAACAGCAUGGGUUCUCUAACCAAAGCCGAUCUACCCAGCUUUGGUUAAUAUCUAGCUGCCCCUGAAUAUCUAACCUGCCAGCAAAAGAGACCAAUGUUAAACUCCCAUUGUGGGUCACUUCGUCAAGGAGCACAAACAUCCAGGUUUACAGAGGUCUUUAGACAUAGUCCCUAUUUUAUAAGGAGAGUUUACUGUAUUGGAACUCUCCCGUCCUGGAAGGGCUGGUGGUUCACUUUUCAUAAGAAUAGUCUCAUAUUCCAGAUACGAGGCUUGUCUUUUCCUACUCACAAGUGUCAGCCAGAAAGGCUUAAGGAGUGCUUGUUUCACUGACAUAACCACAUAACAUUUCAAACGAGAUUCACUUUAUAGCCAAGGAAGUGUAGUGUCCAUGGGCCCUCCUGCCUGGCAGAGCACUGGGACAACAUGCUAAAGGCACAGCCUCCCAAAGGCGUGAGCCACUGAGCCCAGCACUGAAGACUUCCUUGAAACCGUUCUUUGCAAUCUUUCUGUUAUUGACCAGCUGGACAGUCCGUAACUGCACAGGAAUGCUUGCAGAUCAGUAAAUUCAGACACCUUCCUUUCCACAUAAGAUGGACCACCAGCUGUACCCUCCCAAGUUUUGCCAACUGGAAAUCUUCAAAAAUCCAACCCUAAACUAGGUUGUAGUGUAGCAACUAUCUUUUUGUUUGUUUUUUGAGAUGGAGUCUCACUCUGUCUUCCAGGCUGGAGUGCAGUGGCGUGAUCUCAGCUCGCUACAACCUCUGCCUCCCGUGUUCAAGUGAUUCCCCUGCCUCCACCUCCUGAGUAGCUAGGACUACAGGCGCCCACCACCACACCCGGCUAAUUUUUUGUCUUUUAGUAGAGAUAGGAUUUCACCAUGGUGGCCAGGAUAGUCUCAAUCUCCUGACCUCAUGAUCUGCCUGCCUUAGCCUCCCAAAGUGCUGGGAUUACAGGUGUGAGUCACUAGUGUAGCAACUAUUUAUGGUUCAUGCUGCCAUACUGUAUGGAUCCAUUGGUAAAACAUACCUGUAUUUUUUCGUCUUUUGUCAACUGGUCUUAGGGAGCGUCCUGUGAAACCACAGAUGUAGACUGAGGGGGUGUGAAGUAGAAAAGGCGGCAGCAUGCGUUUGGUCACUCACUUGGGUCACAUACUUAUGCCUUCUGAAUCUGUUCAGGCAUAGUUUUGUGUAUACUGUUUCCAGUUUCAAUGAAAUGCUGUUGUUUAUGUCCAGUUUAAUGAUUUGUUGUAUAGGCUAUCUGCUGUGGUAUGCCUCAUGCUUCUGUGGGCUGUAUCGGGAUCAGAGUCUUGGAGGUCUGCAAGUGAGGUGGUAUUGUUGGGUUUUGAGAAUCAGCAUCUCUGUGAGGCACUGUAUUUGUUCUCACACUGCUAUAAGGAAAUGCCUGAGGCCAGGUGUGGUGGCUCAGGCCUGUAAUCCCAGCACUUUGGGAGGCCAAAGCUGGUGGAUCACCUGAGGUCAGGAGUUCAAGACCAGCCUGACCAAUAUGGUGAAACUCUGUCUCUACUAAAAAUACAAAAAUUAGUUGGGCGUGGUGGCAUGCACCUGUAGUCUCAGCUACUUAGGAGGCUGAGACAGGAUAAUUGGUUGAACCCGGGAGGUGGAGGUGGCAGUGAGCCAAGAUUGUGCCAUUUAAGCCUGGUGACAGAGCAAGACUCCAUCUCAAAAAAAAAUGCCUGAGACUGGAUAAUGUAUAAAGAAAAGUAUAUUUGUCUCACGGUUCUGCAGGCUGUACAGUAAGCAUAGUGGCUUUUCCUUUGGGGAGGCCUCAGGAAGCUUCCAAUCAUGGCAGAAGACAAAGUGGGGGAGCAAGGCACUUCACAUGGCUGGAUUAGGAGGCAGAGAGAGGAUGGAGGUGCCACACACUUGAACAGCCAGAUCUCGCGAGAACUCAUUCACUGUCUGAGAACAGCACCCAGGUGUUAAACCAUUCAUGAGAAACUGUCCCCAUGAUCCAAUAACCUCCCACCAGGUCCCACCUCCAACAUUAGGGAUUAGAAUUCAACAUGAGAUUGGGCAGAGACACAGAUCCAAACCAUAUCAGGCAUCCAUCCCAGGUGCAGUCAUUAAAAGUUUUCUAUUCAGGCUUUUGAGGUGAUUGUGGUGGGGCCCCUUCAGGGUGGGGGCUGGACAACAGAGGACCCAACAUGAUUGGAGGGUUAGGAUUUUCAGCCCCACCCUCAAACCUCUGGAGAGGGGAGGGGGUUGGAGUUUAAGUUCAAUCGUGAUCAAUAAUCCAAUCCAUCAUGACUAUGUAAUGAGGCCUUGAUAAAAACUCUUAGCCAAUGAGGCUUAGGGAGAUUCUGGGUUGUGCUGUGUUGUGGGAAGUCAGGGACCCCAAACCGAGGGACCGGCUGGAGCUGUGGCAGAGAGACAUAAAUUGCGAAGAUUUCAUGGACAUUUAUCACUUCCCUAAUAAUACUCUUAUAACGUCUUACGCCUGUCUAAUCUCUUAAUCCUGUUAUCUUUGUAAGCUGAGGAUGUAUGUCACCUCAGGUCCACUGUGAUGAUUGCGUUAACUGUACAAAUUGAUUGUAAAACGUGCAUUUGAUGAGAUCAGGAGAUUGAGACCAUCCUGGCUAACACAGUGAAACCCCGUCUCUACUAAAAAUACAAAAAAUCAGCUGGGCGUGGUGGCAGGUGCUUGUAGUCCCAGCUACUUGGGAGGCUGAGGCAGGAGAAUGGCCUGAACCCGGGAGGCGGAGCUUGCAGUGAGCUGAGAUGGCACCACUGCCCUCCAGCCUGGGUGACAGAGCGAGACUCCAUCUCAAAAAAACAAAAAAAAACGUGUGUUUGAACAAUAUGAAAUCAGUGCACCUUGAAAAUGAACAGAAUAACAGCGAUUUUUAUGGAACGAGGGAAGACAGCCAUAAGGUCUGACUGCCUGCAGGGUCGGGCAAAAAGAGCCAUAUUUUUCUUCCUGCAGAGAGCCUAUAAACGGACGUGCAAGUAGGAGAGAUAUCGCUAAAUUCUUUUCCUAACAUGGAAUAUUAAGACCCUAGGAAAAGAAUUGCAUUCCUUGGGGGAGGUCUAGAAAUGGCUGCUGUGGGAGUGUCUGUCUUACGCAGUUGAGAUAAAGACUGAAAUACGCCCUGGUCUCCUGCAGUACCCUCAGGCUUAUUAGGGUGGGGAAAAAACCACUCCCUGGUAAAUUUGAGGUCAGACGGUUCUCUGCUCUUGAACCCCGUUUUCUGUCGUUUAAGAUGUUUAUCAAGACAAUACAUGCACAGCUGAACAUAGACCCUUAUCAGGAGUUUUUGAUUUUGCUCUUUGCCUUGUGAUCUUUAUUGGCCUCAGAAGCAUGUGAUCUUUGUUCUCCCUUUUGCCCUUUGAAGUAUGUGAUCUUUGUGACCUACUCCCUGUUUGUACAUCCCCUCCCCUUUUAAAGUCCUUAAUAAAAACCUGCUGGUUUUGCGGCUCAGCUGGGCAUCACGGUCCUACCACUAUGUGAUGUCACCCCUGGCGGCCCAGCUGUAAAAUUCC
Long non-coding RNA from Symphalangus syndactylus (siamang), 9986 nucleotides. RefSeq lists it as uncharacterized. NCBI's taxonomy places the organism in Eukaryota, Metazoa, Chordata, Mammalia, Primates, Hylobatidae. The record is from RefSeq and is a predicted model, not a curated record.